GGAGGGCCACCGGAAUAAGCCCAUCCCAUGAGGCGCAGGUGAGCAAGAAUUAAUGAGAGGCGUGAACAGGAAAGGAAGUCUGUAAUAGCGAGAAUGUGCCGUUUUAAAAGGAGGUUUUGCAUCGCACUGUUACUACCUGCAUCCUGCAGUGCAACCAGCGGCCGAAGCAGGAAUGAGGAACCUGCGACCUUCCAUCAACUCCAAUUCCCAUCAACCUCAGCCGGCAGAAGCCCAUGAUCAGGUUCUCCCCAGCGUCCUGGAUCACCAACUGCUCCUGGUGUUCCACCAUGGCCCUUUAAAAAAAUGCAAAGGCCCCAUUAAAAUAACGCAACUUGUUUCAGG
Molecule: long non-coding RNA, 342 nt
Organism: Podarcis raffonei (Aeolian wall lizard)
Lineage: Eukaryota; Metazoa; Chordata; Lepidosauria; Squamata; Lacertidae
Exons: 3
Source: RefSeq, a predicted model, not a curated record